CCCAGUCGAGCGGCGAACGGGUGAGUAACGCGUGGAUAACCUGCCCAGAGGUGGGGGAUAACCCGGGGAAACUCGGGCUAAUACCGCAUACGACCGUGAGGUCAAAGGGGGCUCGCAAGAGCUCUCGCCAUUGGAGGGGUCCGCGUACGAUUAGCUAGUUGGUAGGGUAAUGGCCUACCAAGGCGACGAUCGUUAGCCGGCCUGAGAGGGUGAUCGGCCACACUGGAACUGAGACACGGUCCAG
Molecule: ribosomal RNA, 244 nt
Filed under: uncultured bacterium
Lineage: Bacteria
Description: partial 16S ribosomal RNA
Rfam family: Bacterial small subunit ribosomal RNA
Source: RNAcentral